RNAcentral lists this ribosomal RNA (1987 nucleotides) under Streptomyces sp. CS090A. RNAcentral describes it as "bacterial LSU rRNA". It matches the Rfam family "Bacterial large subunit ribosomal RNA", at positions 312 to 2144 of the family's 2925-position model. The record is from RNAcentral. Lineage: Bacteria; Bacillati; Actinomycetota; Actinomycetes; Kitasatosporales; Streptomycetaceae.
AGUCAGAAACCGUUGGUGUAGGCGAAGGACAUGCGAAAGGUCCGGCGUAGAGGGUAAGACCCCCGUAGCUGAAACAUCAACGGCUCGUUUGAGAAUCACCCAAGUAGCACGGGGCCCGAGAAAUCCCGUGUGAAUCUGGCGGGACCACCCGCUAAGCCUAAAUAUUCCCUGGUGACCGAUAGCGGAUAGUACCGUGAGGGAAUGGUGAAAAGUACCGCGGGAGCGGAGUGAAAUAGUACCUGAAACCGUGUGCCUACAAGCCGUGGGAGCGUCGCUGGCAGCACUUGUGCUGUCAGUCGUGACUGCGUGCCUUUUGAAGAAUGAGCCUGCGAGUUAGCGGUGUGUAGCGAGGUUAACCCGUGUGGGGAAGCCGUAGCGAAAGCGAGUCCGAACAGGGCGUUUGAGUUGCACGCUCUAGACCCGAAGCGGAGUGAUCUAGCCAUGGGCAGGUUGAAGCGGAGGUAAGACUUCGUGGAGGACCGAACCCACCAGGGUUGAAAACCUGGGGGAUGACCUGUGGUUAGGGGUGAAAGGCCAAUCAAACUCCGUGAUAGCUGGUUCUCCCCGAAAUGCAUUUAGGUGCAGCGUCGUGUGUUUCUUGCCGGAGGUAGAGCACUGGAUAGGCGAUGGGCCCUACCGGGUUACUGACCUUAGCCAAACUCCGAAUGCCGGUAAGUGAGAGCGCGGCAGUGAGACUGUGGGGGAUAAGCUCCAUGGUCGAGAGGGAAACAGCCCAGAGCAUCGACUAAGGCCCCUAAGCGUACGCUAAGUGGGAAAGGAUGUGGAGUCGCAGAGACAACCAGGAGGUUGGCUUAGAAGCAGCCACCCUUGAAAGAGUGCGUAAUAGCUCACUGGUCAAGUGAUUCCGCGCCGACAAUGUAGCGGGGCUCAAGCGUACCGCCGAAGUCGUGUCAUUCAUACAUUAAGGGCCAACGCCUGUGUGGAUGGGUAGGGGAGCGUCGUGUGCCGGGUGAAGCAGCCGCGGAAGCGAGUUGUGGACGGUUCACGAGUGAGAAUGCAGGCAUGAGUAGCGAUACACACGUGAGAAACGUGUGCGCCGAUUGACUAAGGGUUCCUGGGUCAAGCUGAUCUGCCCAGGGUAAGUCGGGACCUAAGGCGAGGCCGACAGGCGUAGUCGAUGGACAACCGGUUGAUAUUCCGGUACCCGCUUUGAAACGCCCAGUACUGAAUCAGGCGAUGCUAAGUCCGUGAAGCCGGCCCGAUCUCUUCGGAGUUGAGGGUAGUGGUGGAGCCGAUGAACCAGACUUGUAGUAGGUAAGCGAUGGGGUGACGCAGGAAGGUAGUCCAGCCCGGGCGGUGGUUGUCCCGGGGUAAGGGUGUAGGACGCACGGUAGGCAAAUCCGUCGUGCAUGAAGUCUGAGACCUGAUGCCGAGCCGAUUGUGGUGAAGUGGAUGAUCCUAUGCUGUCGAGAAAAGCCUCUAGCGAGUUUCAUGGCGGCCCGUACCCUAAACCGACUCAGGUGGUCAGGUAGAGAAUACCGAGGCGUUCGGGUGAACUAUGGUUAAGGAACUCGGCAAAAUGCCCCCGUAACUUCGGGAGAAGGGGGGCCAUUCCUGGUGAUAGCACUUGCUGCUUGAGCUGGGGGUGGCCGCAGAGACCAGCGAGAAGCGACUGUUUACUAAAAACACAGGUCCGUGCGAAGCCGUAAGGCGAUGUAUACGGACUGACGCCUGCCCGGUGCUGGAACGUUAAGGGGACCGGUUAGUGCACUUUCGGGUGUGCGAAGCUGAGAACUUAAGCGCCAGUAAACGGCGGUGGUAACUAUAACCAUCCUAAGGUAGCGAAAUUCCUUGUCGGGUAAGUUCCGACCUGCACGAAUGGCGUAACGACUUCUCGACUGUCUCAACCAUAGGCCCGGUGAAAUUGCACUACGAGUAAAGAUGCUCGUUUCGCGCAGCAGGACGGAAAGACCCCGGGACCUUUACUAUAGUUUGAUAUUGGUGUUCGGUUCGGCUUGUGUAGGAU